This 248-nucleotide ribosomal RNA is filed under the name uncultured Enterorhabdus sp. RNAcentral describes it as "partial 16S ribosomal RNA". It matches the Rfam family "Bacterial small subunit ribosomal RNA", at positions 524 to 772 of the family's 1533-position model. The record is from RNAcentral. Lineage: Bacteria; Bacillati; Actinomycetota; Coriobacteriia; Eggerthellales; Eggerthellaceae.
UACGUAGGGGGCGAGCGUUAUCCGGAUUCAUUGGGCGUAAAGCGCGCGCAGGCGGGCUUGCAAGCGGGGCCUUUAAUCUUGGGGCUUAACCUCAAGUCGGGUUCCGAACUGCAAGCCUCGAGUGUGGUAGGGGAAGGCGGAAUUCCCGGUGUAGCGGUGGAAUGCGCAGAUAUCGGGAAGAACACCGAUGGCGAAGGCAGCCUUCUGGGCCAUUACUGACGCUGAGGCGCGAAAGCUGGGGGAGCGAA